Molecule: long non-coding RNA, 878 nt
Filed under: Salvia miltiorrhiza (redroot sage)
Lineage: Eukaryota; Viridiplantae; Streptophyta; Magnoliopsida; Lamiales; Lamiaceae
Description: long non-coding RNA (SMIL_LNC006348)
Source: RNAcentral
CUUUGAUUGCUUAACAAUUUUACAGGACUGUGAGAUCACAUGGUGAUUCAAUUUCAGAAGCCAAAACAACAAAUUUCAGAAGCCAAAACAGCAGAUGAAAAAGUUCAGUCCCCAUCCUCAAAGUAAGCAAAUCAUUAUCUUAGAUUUUAAGAUGAGGAUGUGAUGCGCUGCAUAUACUGGGAAUGUUAAUAGUGGGUGAUUUUUAUUGGUUAAUUACCAAACUGUAGAAGAGGUUAUAUGAUUUGGAUUUUGAGGUGAUGUUAUAUUGUUUAAUUUUUCGGAACAAAUAUGUGAGUUUUAUUUCUAUUUACAUUCUUGAGAAAUCUGUUUUCAAAUUUUGCAUAUUAUGUGUUUGACAAAAUGCUUGAUAGAACCCUGCGAAUUUUUCUUUACAUUCUUGAGAUUGUCUCUUGCUGAUUCUUUUCUUCUUUUUUUGUUGCAGGGAUUAAAGUAGAAUCUAUAACUAUAUUACUCCAUGUAAUAUGAUUGCAAAUAAUAAACGUUAAACAUAAUUUUUUUAUUCAUGUUAUUAUUUAUUUAUACAAUGAUGUCUACAAUUUCAGAACCCCAUAUAAAGACGUCAAGUUGUAACCUUCUGUUUUAUACCCUUUUUCUCCAUCGGUUCCCAUAUUUUUCUUCCCUCUAUUUUGUAUGCUUACUGUGAAAAAGGGACUUUUGUGAUGUUAUCUAUUUGGCAACUUAUGUUCUGGGGUUAAUGUGGGUUAAUGUAGUUUUGGAUAUUUGUACAUGCGGUGAGUCAAGUAAUUUAUUUCGGAUCCGAGGUUGUGAACCUCGAUGCUUAAUAUCUCAGUGAUCUCACCAAUACGACAAUGAACUAACGAACAUAUAUUGCAAAUAAUAAUCGUUAAACAUAAGAG